Molecule: transfer RNA, 72 nt
Filed under: Camelus bactrianus (Bactrian camel)
Lineage: Eukaryota; Metazoa; Chordata; Mammalia; Artiodactyla; Camelidae
Also listed under: 3 other names
Rfam family: tRNA
About the family: Transfer RNA (tRNA) molecules are approximately 80 nucleotides in length. Their secondary structure includes four short double-helical elements and three loops (D, anti-codon, and T loops).
Source: Rfam by way of RNAcentral
GAGGGGAUAGCUCAGUGGUAGAGUACGUGCCUAGCAUGCAUGAGGUCCUGGGUUCAAUUCCCAGUACCUCCA